RNAcentral lists this ribosomal RNA (746 nucleotides) under uncultured Parvimonas sp. Its description in RNAcentral is "bacterial SSU rRNA". It matches the Rfam family "Bacterial small subunit ribosomal RNA", at positions 28 to 776 of the family's 1533-position model. Lineage: Bacteria; Bacillati; Bacillota; Tissierellia; Tissierellales; Peptoniphilaceae. The record is from RNAcentral.
GACGAACGCUGGCGGCGUGCUUAACACAUGCAAGUCGAACGUGAUUUUUGUGGAAAUUCUUUCGGGAAUGGAAAUGAAAUGAAAGUGGCGAACGGGUGAGUAACACGUGAGCAACCUACCUUACACAGGGGGAUAGCCGUUGGAAACGACGAUUAAUACCGCAUGAGACCACAGAAUCGCAUGAUAUAGGGGUCAAAGAUUUAUCGGUGUAAGAAGGGCUCGCGUCUGAUUAGCUAGUUGGAAGGGUAAAGGCCUACCAAGGCGACGAUCAGUAGCCGGUCUGAGAGGAUGAACGGCCACAUUGGAACUGAGACACGGUCCAAACUCCUACGGGAGGCAGCAGUGGGGAAUAUUGCACAAUGGGGGGAACCCUGAUGCAGCGACGCCGCGUGAGCGAAGAAGGUUUUCGAAUCGUAAAGCUCUGUCCUAUGAGAAGAUAAUGACGGUAUCAUAGGAGGAAGCCCCGGCUAAAUACGUGCCAGCAGCCGCGGUAAUACGUAUGGGGCGGGCGUUGUCCGGAAUUAUUGGGCGUAAAGGGUACGUAGGCGGUUUUUUAAGUCAGGUGUGAAAGCGUGAGGCUUAACCUCAUUAAGCACUUGAAACUGGAAGACUUGAGUGAAGGAGAGGAAAGUGGAAUUCCUAGUGUAGCGGUGAAAUGCGUAGAUAUUAGGAGGAAUACCGGUGGCGAAGGCGACUUUCUGGACUUUUACUGACGCUCAGGUACGAAAGCGUGGGGAGCAAACAGG